This 519-nucleotide ribosomal RNA is filed under the name Blastocystis sp. RNAcentral's name for it is "SSU rRNA". It matches the Rfam family "Eukaryotic small subunit ribosomal RNA", at positions 76 to 618 of the family's 1831-position model. The record is from RNAcentral. Lineage: Eukaryota; Bigyra; Opalinata; Blastocystidae.
UAACUUUGAAACUGCGAAUGGCUCAUUAUAUCAGUUAUAGUUUAUUUGAUGAAGAAUACUAAUUGGAUAACCGUAGUAAUUCUAGAGCUAAUACAUGUAUAAAGUCUUGUAGACUGCAUUUAUUAGAAUGAAAACCAUAGGUUUCGGCCUAUUCGUGAGUAAUAAUAACUAAUCAUAUCGUAUGCUUAUGUAACGAUGUGUCUUUCAAGUUUCUGCCCUAUCAGCUUUCGAUGGUAGUGUAUUGGACUACCAUGGCAGUAACGGGUAACGAAGAAUUUGGGUUCGAUUUCGGAGAGGGAGCCUGAGAGAUGGCUACCACAUCCGAGGAAGGCAGCAGGCGCGUAAAUUACCCAAUCCUGACACAGGGAGGUAGUGACAAUAAAUCACAAUGCGGAACAAUGUUUUGCAAUUGGAUUGAGAACAACGUACAAACCUUAUCGAUAAACAAUUGGAGGGCAAGUCUGGUGCCAGCAGCCGCGGUAAUUCCAGCUCCAAUAGCGUAUAUUAACGUUGUUGCAG